AGCUAAUGCCUUUGUAAGAAUCAGUCUGUUUCUUCCAGGUUGUCCAUUUUAUUGGCAUAUAGUUGCUCACAGUAGUCUUUCAUGCUUCUUUGUAUUUUUGCAGUGUCAGUUAUAACUUCUCCUUUUUCAUUUCUAAUUUUAUUGAUUUGAACCCUCUCCCUUUUUUUCUUGAUGAGUCUGGCUAACGGUUUAUCAAUUUUGUUGAUCUUUUCGAAGAACCAGCUUUUGGUUUCAUUGCUCUCAAUUGUUUUCUUUGUCUCUAUGUGAUUAAUUUCUGCUCUUUAUGAUUUCUUUCCUUCUACUAAUUUUGGGCUCUGCCUAUUCCUCCUUUUCUAGAUGUUUAAAGGGUAAAGUUAGGUUGUUUAUUUGAGUUUUUUCAUCUUUCCUGAGAUAUGUUUGUAUUGUUAAAAACUUCCAUCUCAGAACUGCUUUUGCUGUGUCCCAUAGGUUUUGAAUUAUUUUAUCUUCAUUGUCAUUUGCCUCUACAUAUCUUUUAAUUUCCUCUUUGAUUUAUUUAAUAAUCCAUUGAUUUAGUAGCAAGUUGUUUAGCUUACAAGAGUUUGUGGGGGUUUUUUUGCUUUUGUAUAGUUCUGUUUUGCUUUUGGGGCUGCACCUGAGGCAUAUGGAGGUUCUUGGGCUAAGGGUUGAAUCGGAGCUACAGAUGCUGGCCUACACCACAGCCACGAGCAACAUGGGAUCCAAGCCACAUCUGUGACCUACACCAUAGCUCACAGCAAUGCUGGAUCCUUAACCUACUGAGUGAGGCCAGGGAUCGAACCCACAACCUCAUAGUUCCUAGUCAGAUUCGUUUCCACUGCACCACAACAGGAACUUGAAGAGUUUGUGUUUUUUGCUUGUUUUUUUCCUUGUAGUUGAUUUCUAGUCUCAUAGCAUUGUGAUCAGAGAAACCUACAAAGUUAUUAUGGGCCAGGGUCUUUAGGGGAGCCUUGUUAGCUGUUUUGGUGUCUUUUGCCUGCUGUUCAUAAUCUCUAAGAUCAUGCUAGAGGCAGAUGAGCAGCCCUCAGGGGUAGAGUAGACACCAAUAGCAUUCUCAGCAGCACUGUCAUUCUCCUUCCUAUGCAUGUCCAUCUUGAACUGGGUCUGUUUUGUGAUGUUGGACAUAGUGGCAUGCCAAGACCAGCUCAGCAGGUAGAGCUGAAGAAUGGGUGCUCUGAAACUUAAGGAAAGAAGUUAAUGUAAGACAAGAUACAGAGACAUUUAUCUUAAGUAAAAGUGGGAACUGAGGGACUCAAGGUCUCAGGAACCAAGAGCCCUGUCUCAAGAACCCCCACUGCUUUUAUUGUGCUCUUUAGGAUUCUGUCAAGUGAGGAGGGGGUUGUAGGUGCAGGGUAUAGGUUUUUUUAAAUUGUUUUAAAAGUCACAUAGCCAGUUGCUGAUUAAGCUUUUAUUCUACCUUUAGGCAUUUAACAAUAGUUAGCAUUGAGGAAGCUUGGCCUCAGCUAUCUAUGCACAACAUUCUAGAGAAUCACCAUUGUGCUUCUGCAGAUGGCGUGCCUAUCUGCAGCAACCCAGCCUGCCUAGGUUUGCACCUUGAUUCUCCUUGCUAAUGUAUAUCCUGCUAAUGACCCCUCAUGAACCCCUUGGGGCCAUGAGGCUCAUCUUAUUCUUUAGAGGACAUAUCAUGCUGUGCAAAUGGUGUGUCUAUCUGCACAGGUCCUGCAUGCCUAGACCAAUGCAUUAUGUCCUCAUUCACCUGACCACAUGAAUAACUUAUGCCUUUAGGUCUUUGUUCUUAAGCUUAAGUCAUUUACCAGCACUGCGACUGUUUUCCAAGCAGGAAGAUGGGAUAAAGAAAAGCAGGACAAGAUGGAGUUUUCAGCCUAGAAAAUAGAAGCAAAGAGGCUAAGAAAAUAUUGUAGAAACAUGUCUCGCAACAGUGGCACCCCCCUUGCCAAUGAUGGCAUCCAUGUAACUGAGUGGGCACCAGGAGCUACAGGGGUUGUCCACUUGCUCCUGCUUGGCUGGGGCUCUGGCUGCCACGGGGGAGCCCUGGCAGGGCUGACCCCGAAAACUGAAGCCUCCCAGGUGCGCAUUCUCAGGACCUGGUCUCUUUGCUCAUCAUGAAUGCAGGAGACCUUCAAGGCGUGGCUCUCCAGCUGGUGGCCAUUCAGCUUCACCAUGUCUUGCCUGGUCUGUUCCCAGUUGGAGUAGGUAACAUUCCUCACUGCCGUCUCACUCGCAGUGCUUACUUGCUCACAGUUCUCUACUGUACCAUACUGAACCAGAAGGCUGUCUAGGACUUCCCAUAACAGCUGGAGUGGAAUAUUUCAGAUCCGUAUUUUCCACCUUCUUUGUUUUCUGGGAACAGAGUGUUCAAUCCAUAGGCAUUUUCCUUGCAGUUCCACUUUCCCUGUUGGGGCCAGUCAGAGGCAAGGCCAGCCACAUUAAAUUCAUAAUUAAUUCUACUGUUAAACAGUAAAGUAAAUAAUUUCCAAUUCAGGUCAACAAAUUGUUACCUAAUAAUAGCCUUUAGGUUUUGUUUUUUUCAGAGAUAGUUAUUUUCUAUAAUCCAUGCCAUAGCUGCCUCCUUUUCUUGCUCUGUAUCUGACUAUGGAUUGGUUAAUACUAUUUGAACAGAGGUUAAAAUAUUCUCGCUGAUUUGCUUCCCAAUCUUCCAACUUACUAUCUAGGUAAAAUGUCAUUAUAUUUGAAAAUAUUUUGUAUUGAUGAUAAGGGUUUGCUAGCAGUCCCAUUAAUAAAAGAUGACCAAAAGUGAUGGAAAAAAUAAAGAUAAUAAGUCUUAGUAUUCCUCAGGUAACAUUUAAGAAAGAAAAGUGUGAAUGAGGAAAUGGGAAAGCAGAAAGGAGGUGAAGUAGAGGCGUUCCAGUGGGGCCAUCAGCACAAGCAAACCUGAGGGUGACAUAAAGGUCCAUAGGAAUGGAGAUUUCACUGGCCAUUAGGCACUCAGUCCUCUGCAUGCUUCCCUGUGACCAGCCUCAUCAAGGCAGCCCCCUGAGAGAGAGCAUCCCACCAACUUAAUAGCUGAGAUGGCCCCUGUUCGACCCCAGGAAUUGCUAUAACUCACCUGAGUGCACUUUGAAUUGGCCCCCACCACACAAUCUGGCUGAGCUGGAGUAAAUUCUGCAAUGAGACUCUUGCCUCACUGCAAAUUCCAGUAGCACAGUGGCAGCCUUCCAGUCAUUUUACAAGGUUGAAUGAGAAGAGCAGUUAGAGAAUGAGAAAAUUACAGAGGACUGCAACCCAAGAGAGCAUAGAAAUUAGCAAUUCAUUAUUGGAAUGGAAAAUGUGGCAAAGGGAUUUUGAGAAUGCUGGUAUCCUGGCAGAGACAGCCAGUCACUAGAAGGUUCUGGUAACACAGUAAUAAGCCAUCUCCUAGUUUAUCUUCACUCAGGGCUCCCCCUGCUUAGAAAAUUGUGCAGCAUUCUUUCCCUCUCAUCUCAGGCCCCCUGCCAUUCUGAGCAGGCAAGUGUGGAUGUGAUGUUUGGGAGGCUCAUUCACAGGGAAUCUCUAUUUGUUUCUGGUUUAAUCAGUUUUCUGAGUGCUGUAAACCAGUCACCACCUGUGAUCUGUGUGGGCUGUUGGCAGUGUGUACUGUUCAGGAACAGUUAACAGGAUCCUAACACCUGCUUGGAUCACAAUACACCUUGACAGAAGAGCCAGGCAUAAGAUGUCAACAUCAGCACUGUUACAUCCUGGGAGCUCCUCUGAAGUCCUGUGACUUGUCCAGAAAUGAUAAUUAUGGAGGAAGAAUAGCUAAUAGUAAUUAUGGAAUAAUAAACACUGACCUAAUUGAAUUCUUGCUAUGAAUAAGGUAGUACAUUGUAAGUAUCCUACAUGUAUUAUGUUAAUCAUUAGAAAACCUCUGUAGGAGAGUUUACAAUUAUUAAUUCCAUUUUGCAGAUGGAGAAAGUGAGACCAUGGGAGUUUAAUUAACUUGCCCAAAGGCACCUUGCUGGUAACGGUUAGAGCCACAGUUUGAACUAAGUCAGUCCAUUUCAGGGUCCUUUUUCCUAACUACUACAUUGUAUGUCAUCUAGUUUGUUUUCUUGGUGGGCAUGACGGGUAACUGUUUGGUUCUCUAGGUUGCAUUAGUCUAAGAUCUGUGUGGAAUCU
Molecule: long non-coding RNA, 4095 nt
Filed under: Sus scrofa (pig)
Lineage: Eukaryota; Metazoa; Chordata; Mammalia; Artiodactyla; Suidae
Description: lncRNA (ENSSSCG00015027559.1)
Source: RNAcentral